Long non-coding RNA from Oxyura jamaicensis (ruddy duck), 912 nucleotides. RefSeq lists it as uncharacterized. The record is from RefSeq and is a predicted model, not a curated record. NCBI's taxonomy places the organism in Eukaryota, Metazoa, Chordata, Aves, Anseriformes, Anatidae. The transcript has 4 exons.
AGCAUAAAAAUGUACGUCGUCGUACUGGGCUGCCAGUGGUACAUCUGUCUUCCCGGAGUUUCACCAAGGACUGCAACAAGUGUGUGUGCAGGAGUUGAUCCUGCUCUUGGCUGUGGAUUUGGGUCAACAUCGGGAGAAAACCAGAUCACAGAUCCCAUUAGCAAAGCCCCUUCAAGCUGCUGUGGUCACAGAAAUGUGUGAUCUUACUCCUAACACUGGCAGGGGGCUACAUCCUUUCCUGGAAGGCUCCUGCUGUUGCCAGCAGUGAGGCCACUUGUCCCGUGUCAGACCAGGAUGGAGGGACCCGAGUGGGGAAGGCCACAGCCAGCAGGUGGCCGUCUGUGUGAAACCAGAGUGUCCCACGCCGGGCAGGAUCAGAAGGCAGGAGGACAGGCUGGAUCUCUCGAGGUGGAGGAACACACCGUCUGGUAGCUACUGGUAACUACUGGACUGCCAAGAUUUCAGUCUGCUCCUUUCAAUGGAGCUUUCAUUCCUGGGCUUAGAGAAAGGUUCUUCUCUUCUGCUUUUUUCUUCUCUCUUUUUCAGAGGCAAGUGGGGAAGCUAAAGGGGGAGAACAGACAUCUCAUCUGCAGGGCAGGACAGAGAGCCAGCAAGAGAAGAAAGGGAACAAAACCAAAGCACAGAAAAGUGGCAGCUUUGAGGGCUUUCAAGUACCACUGUCAGGAAGAAAAAGAAAAAGAAAAAAAAAAAAAAAAAAAAAAGAUUUCUUGUGGCAGUGAGGUGUUCUACAUUGAAAAAAGAGGCUGGGAUGAAAACACUGACUGGAGAGGAAGGAAGGGCACGCGGAGACCUCUUCCCUCUGCAAGACCCCAACCAGCAGCACCCCAGCACCUCUGUCCAGCCUGCAGCACCGCAGAGUGCUUGCAGCACCGCAUCCCUUUGGCUGGGGCC